Molecule: ribosomal RNA, 184 nt
Filed under: uncultured bacterium
Lineage: Bacteria
Description: partial 16S ribosomal RNA
Rfam family: Bacterial small subunit ribosomal RNA
Source: RNAcentral
GCAUGAAGUCGGAAUCGCUAGUAAUCGCAGAUCAGCAAAGCUGCGGUGAAUACGUUCCCGGGCCUUGUACACACCGCCCGUCACACCACGGGAGUCGGUCGCGCCUGAAGCCGGUGGCCUAUCAGUAAUGGGGGAGCCGUCUAUGGCGAGAUUGGUAACUGGGGUGAAGUCGUAACAAGGUAUC